Arabidopsis thaliana (thale cress) is the source of this 205-nucleotide long non-coding RNA. RefSeq annotates it as other RNA. NCBI's taxonomy places the organism in Eukaryota, Viridiplantae, Streptophyta, Magnoliopsida, Brassicales, Brassicaceae. The transcript has a single exon. The record is from RefSeq.
GGAAGUGGUGAACGGUGUGGAAUUAAAACUACGUUUGGACGGUCCACGAUCAUUCACAACAAGUUAUGGUAGAAAAUUAGUUGUGUUUUUGCAUAAAAUAGAGAAAAUGAGCGAGACAACAGAAAUUUGGUGUGCAGAGAUUGCCCUCGAAAGGCGCGAAGGAGGAGAAAUAUGGGGAAAGGUCGAGUGGUAUGAUCUUGUGCUU